GGCCUUGUAACUUUGAAAAUGCAAGGAUACAUGUAACUGAAUAUAUCAAAUAGUUAUCAUUACCAAUGAAUAAGAAGAAAUUUUGACAAAUAGUUAAUGAUAUGAUUGCCUGGUGUAAUGUUACUGAAGAAUUUUGGAGAAGUUUAGAGUAUUUUUGUAUUUCACUUUUGAUCUUUACAAUUGGUUUACAUGACUAUUUAUACACAAAGAAUUAUAUUUAAACAGGAAACAAAUAAUUAAAUAAUAAUCACAGAGAUAAUUAAGGAUCCUAAUCAAAUCAAAUCAUAUCCCUAGAAUCAGCUAGAAUUAGCAAAUAAGUCAACACUCCCCCUCAAGUUGGUGCAAAGAUGUCGCACAUGCCCAACUUGCAAAUCAAAUUAUAGUAGAUCUUGUUGUUGAGCCCUUUAGUAAACACAUUCGCAAGUUGCCCAGUAAAAGUCACAUGAACUAAGCUCAAAACACUUUCUGUUAAUUUUUCUUUAAUGAAAUGCCGAUCAAUCUCAAUGUACUUCGUCCGAUCAUGUUGGACUGGAUUUUGUGCUAUACUGAUAGCAGCUUUGUUGUUACAAUACAAAGUUAUCUUGUCUCUUUCGGGCAACCUCAACUCCUCCAAUAACUUCUGCAACCAUAAGAGUUUAUACACACCUUGAGCCAUUGCUCUGUAUUCUGCUUCAGCACUUAACCGAGCAACAAUACUUUAUUUUUUACUCCUCCAGGUGACAAGGUUCCCUCUCACAACUAUGCAAUAGCUAGAGGUGGAUCUCUUGUCAUCGAGAGAUCCUGGGCAAUCUGCAUCUGUAAAAGUUUCAACUCGGAGGUGACCAUGUUUGGAGUAAAGAAGCCCUUUCCCUGGCGUAGACUUUGGGUAUCUCAAGAUGCAAAGUACAGCUUGCAUAUGAGUUUCGCGAGGAUCAUACAUGAAUUGGCUGACUAAGCUAACAGCAUAGGCUAUAUCCGAUCGAGUGUGUGAGAAAUAAAUCAAUCUUCCUACCAAUCUCUAGUAUCUUUCAAUAUUCACGGACUCACUAUUUCCUGCUUCCGGCUUGUGAUUAUUUUCAAUGGGAGAUUCUAUUGGUUUAUACCCCAACAUAUCAGUUUCUUCCAAAAGAUCCAAAAUGUACUUUCUUUAGGAGAUGAGAAUUCAUUUUUUCUAAUCUAGCCACCUCAAUACCUAGGAAAUAUUGCAGUUUUCCUAGAUCUUUAAUUUUAAAUUCUUGAGCCAACAACCUUUUUAGUUGAGUCAUUUCCUCUUUGUCAUCACUUGUCACUACUAUAUCAUCAACAUACACAAUAAGAAGGGUGAUUUUACCCUUGUGAUGUUUGAUAAACAGAGUGUGAUCAGCAUUACUCUGUUGGCAACCAAAAGACAUCAUGGUUUUGCUAAACCUGUCAAACCAAUCUCUGAGAGAUUAUUUUAGCCCAUACAAAGCAUUUUUUAACCUGCACACCUUUCCUUGUGUCUUCUCAUCAGCGAACCCAAGAGGGAUUUCCAUGAACAUUUCUUCCUCUAAAUCUCCAUGGAGGAAAGCAUUCUUCACAUCAAACUGUUGCAAGUCCCAGUCCAAGUUGGUUGUGCAAGAUAAUAGGACUCUGAUUGAGUUUAUUUUUGCAACUAAGGCAAAUGUUUCUUGAUAAUCCAUUCCAUAGGUUUGGGUAAAUCUUUAGCAACCAAUCUGGCCUUAAACCGUUCAAUUGUACCAUCAGCUUUGUGUUUCACUAUGAACACUCACUUGCAGCCAACAAGUUUCUUUCCAGGUGGGAGAGUGAUAAGCUCCCAGGUCUCAUUUUUAGCUAAUGCUUUCAUCUUUUCAAUCAUUGCUCCCUUCCAUUUAGGAUUUGCAAGAGCUUCCUUCCAAUCCCAUGGAAUAGACAUAGAGGAAAUAGACAAGGCAAAGGCUCUAUAGGUGGGAGACAAGGAUUCAUAAGAAAUAAAGUUAGAAAUAUGAUGUUUAGUACAAGAUCUGACCCCUUUUCUUUGUGCAAUAGGUUUAUCUAAGUCAUUGGAGCAUUCAAGAGUUGUGAGUAACUCAACAAAAGAAUAUUCUUGACUCUGAGUAGACUGCAUAAUGGCUUCUUCUGCGUUGUCUCUCCUCAAAUACCUCCUCAAAUCUGGCUUGUCCAAAUAUCCAAUUCUCUCCCCCUGAUUAGACAUAUCCCCAUGUCUACUAGAACUCAAACUCUCUAGCUGAAUCAUAUCAUUCAGAAUCAUAGAAUUCGGGAUCACUUCUUCUUACUCAUUAUUCUCCCCCUGAAGAGGUGAGUGGGUGGUACUGAAGUAGGGUUCAGUUUCUCGGAAGGUAACAUGCAUAUUGACAAAGUAUUUCCUAGACGAAGGGUAAUAACACCUGCAUCCCUUCUGUGUCGGAGAAUACACAACAAACACACAUUUAAAGGUCUUGGGGUCCAACUUCCCUGCCGUCCUAGUAUGGACAAAACAAACACACCUAAAUACUUUUAGUGGAACAAUGUAUGAAUUCUUCCUUUGUAGAAUCUCCAAAGGACUCAUAAAGUUAGAUCCUUGAGGGGUAUUCUAUUGACAAGAUAAACAGAUACAAGGACUGCAUCUCCCCAAUAUGCUUUGGGUAGAUUCAUGGACGUAAGAGAUUGAGCUACCUCCAAUAAAUGUCUUUUCCUUUUAGCAACGCCAUUUUGAGCCCUAGUAUAAGGACAACUAGUCUGGUGUACUAUACCAUUAUUUUCCAAAUAAGUAGAAAAACUACUAUCCAUGUACUCUCUUCCAUUGUCGGUUCUCAAAAUUUUCACCUUAGUAUCAAAUUGAGUACAAAUCAUCUUAUGAAAAGAUUGAAAACAUGAAAAGACAUCACUUUGAGCUUUAAUCAAAUAGACCCAAGUUAUUCGAGUGCAAUAAUCAAUAAAGGUGACAAACUAUCGAUUACCAUAUAAGGAGAUAGCUUGAGUUGGCCCUUAAACAUCAAAAUGAAUAGUCACAAAAGGAAUUUAGCUUUUAUUAUGAGUCAAAGGAUAGGAGGUUCUAGUGUGCUUGGCAUACUCACACGCAUCACAAAAAUAGAGAACUAAACUGAGUUCUAGCAAACAAAUUAGGAUAAAGUUUUUCUAAGAUAAAAAAUGAUGGAUGCCCUAACCACCUGUGCCACUGUAUUAUUUCUUGAUUGACAUCUUUAUUUUCUCCAAAACAGGCUUGAGAUAUCGAAGAGCCUAGAUCAUCUUCCAACAUAUAUAAGUCAUCAUGCAACCUACCAUUGCCAAUCCUCUUCCAUGUGCGAGAUCCUGAAUAACACAAUGAUCAGGAAAUAAUUCAAUUUUACAAUUAAGAGUAUUGGUGAUAGCACUGACAGAUAAAAGAUAGAUACGAAAGCAAGAAACAUGAAGGAUAGAUGAUAAUUUAAUAUUGGGUGUGCAAAUAACAGAACCUGUUCCGGAUAUGAGAGUAAAAGAGCCAUCAGCAAUUCUGACACUACCUUUGGUUAGAGAAGAAAAAUAAUUAAAAAAGCCUUUAGAAGAACCUGUCAUGUGUCUAUUCACACCAGAAUUAAUAAUCCAUGGAACAUUAUCAAGAGAGAAAGUAUUACCUGACUUUAUAAAGUUAGAUGUGGCACCGGAGGAUGAAGACGUGUCAAUACGAGACAAGAGGUGCUUAAGACUGAAUUUCAUUAGGGGAAAGGAACUUAGUUGUUGUUGUCUCCUUAAAGGGCUCCUCCAUAGUUUCUGCUAAAUUAGCGUGAGUUCUGGAGGUACCUCGUUUCCCCCCACAGCCUCUAGUAGGAUGACCAUGUAACUUUCAACAAGUCUCCUUGGUAUGCCUCAGUUUCUCACGAUAGUCAUAGACUCAUAGUGUAGGUGAUCUUUCUCAGAAUUAGGAGGCUACGGUGUGCUCAAACUAAUAGUCAAUCCAGCCUUUUCAACUGGUGUAGUAUAGAGUAUAGCAUGUCGAAGACUUUCCUCUUGUUGAACAUGGCAUGGGCUUCUUCUAGAGAAGGAAAAUGAUUUCUUCCCAACACUUGAACUCGAAUUGGAUGAAAAUCAUAGACCCGCUCCUUUUCAAUCAUUCUCGGAAAUUUGACUGCAUCUCUAGUGCAGUCUGCCCGGAAGUCUUGAUAGUAAUCAAGUUCUUGCCAUAAGCCACAUAAAUCAAAAUAAAAUUGGGAGGUAGUCAUUUCUUCUUGUUUAGUACCAUGGAUCUUAUUCCGAAUAUCAUAAAUUUGGGCAUCAUUCUCAAGCUUGGAAUAAGUUAAGGACAAGGCCUUCCAUAUUUUUGCAACAGUAUCAAUUAAUAAAUAGGACUUAGAGAUAUGAGGUUGCAUAGAGUUAAGUAACCAUGUCAUAACAAGAUAAUUAUCCGAGUCCCAUUGAGAAAAAUCUGGAUCACUCUCAUCCGAUUGCUUCUUAUUACCAGUGACAUAGUCCUGCAGUUCUCUAGCCUUGAUAAACAACAAACAAGACCUUGACUAGCUAAGAUAAUUGGUUCCAUUAAGUUUUAUGGGACUAAUUUGCAAGGAAGGAUUAUCAGAGUUAGGAAUUGAGACUUUUUUACCUUCUGUCAUGGAGACCCGUUUACCUUCUGCCAUAGCAAAGAUAAAUGAGCAGUGAAAGAAUAGGGGUUACCCAAGGUUGUACACAUAAGAGAGCCCAACUAAAUCACCAAAAACCGGGUAGUGGUACGGUAAGGCCGGAAAGACGGUCAGAAUCAUUGCCGGAGUGAUCGGAGCAGCAAAGCAGUGUCAGGCGAUGUAUCACGUGGCGGGAAGGUAAGGCGCGUGAGCCUCACGCGCGGGCUUUUCCGACGUCGGAGCUGGCGGUCGGGCUAACGAUUCCCCUAGUGCCUAUGGUGAGAGGUGGAAAAACUCCUAGAUGAGUUAAUACCAAAAAGGCAAAUAUAAGAUUUUAAAGUCUCAAAGAAGAUAAAAUUGAAUUUAAACCCUAAAAUCAUGAAAAAACUAUGAUACCAUGAAGAAUUUUGGGAAAGUUUAGGGUAUUCUUGUAUUUCAUUCUUGAUUUUUACAAUUGGUUUACAUGACUAUUUAUACACAAAAUAUUAUAUCUAAACAGGAAGCAAAUAAUCAAAUAAUAAUUACAGAGAUAAUUAAGGAUUCUGAUCAAAUAAAAUCAUAUCUUUAAAAUCAGUUAGAAUCAGCAAAUAAGUCAACAGUUACUUUCUCAUGAGAUCGAGUAAUGAAUCUGGUCUGACAGAGAAUUAACUGAUACAAUGUUUUGGUAGAUUUCUAUGUACUCCAAUCUGUAAUUUGAUGGUACUGGUAAACCUAGUCUGACCUGAUAUGAGAAGUAACUCCAAGUAGAGCUGAUAUGGAUGCAACAGGUGUGACAUUAAAGAAAAUUAUGGCAUUGAAAAAGCAUAUUUUUGCAUUUGAAUUCUUUGACAAGAAUUUUGAAUAGGAUUAAAAUAAUACCAAAGUAAGAAAGGC
RNAcentral lists this long non-coding RNA (5402 nucleotides) under Manihot esculenta (cassava). RNAcentral's name for it is "long non-coding RNA (MESC_LNC011393)". The record is from RNAcentral. Lineage: Eukaryota; Viridiplantae; Streptophyta; Magnoliopsida; Malpighiales; Euphorbiaceae.